AAGAAGCACCGGGCUAACUACGUGCCAGCAGCCGCGGUAAUACGUAGGGUGCGAGCGUUGUCCGGAAUUAUUGGGCGUAAAGAGCUUGUAGGCGGUUUGUCGCGUCUGCCGUGAAAAUCCGGGGCUCAACCCCGGACUUGCGGUGGGUACGGGCAGACUAGAGUGUGGUAGGGGAGACUGGAAUUCCUGGUGUAGCGGUGAAAUGCGCAGAUAUCAGGAGGAACACCGAUGGCGAAGGCAGGUCUCUGGGCCAUUACUGACGCUGAGAAGCGAAAGCAUGGGGAGCGAACAGGAUUAGAUACCCUGGUAGUCCAUGCCGUAAACGUUGGGAACUAGGUGUGGGUCUCAUUCCACGAGAUCCGUGCCGCAGCUAACGCAUUAAGUUCCCCGCCUGGGGAGUACGGCCGCAAGGCUAAAACUCAAAGGAAUUGACGGGGGCCCGCACAAGCGGCGGAGCAUGUGGAUUAAUUCGAUGCAACGCGAAGAACCUUACCAAGGCUUGACAUAUACCGGAAACAUCUGGAGACAGGUGCCCCGCAAGGUCGGUAUACAGGUGGUGCAUGGUUGUCGUCAGCUCGUGUCGUGAGAUGUUGGGUUAAGUCCCGCAACGAGCGCAACCCUCGUUCUAUGUUGCCAGCGCGUAAAGGCGGGGACUCAUAGGAGACUGCCGGGGUCAACUCGGAGGAAGGUGGGGAUGAGGUCAAAUCAUCAUGCCCCUUAUGUCUUGGGCUUCACACAUGCUACAAUGGCCGGUACAAAGGGCUGCGAAACCGCAAGGUGGAGCGAAUCCCAAAAAACCGGUCUCAGUUCGGAUUGGGGUCUGCAACUCGACCCCAUGAAGUUGGAGUCGCUAGUAAUCGCAGAUCAGCAACGCUGCGGUGAAUACGUUCCCGGGCCUUGUACACACCGCCCGUCAAGUCACGAAAGUCGGUAACACCCGAAGCCGGUGGCCCAACCCU
This 959-nucleotide ribosomal RNA is filed under the name Knoellia sp. M1JuS9. Its description in RNAcentral is "bacterial SSU rRNA". It matches the Rfam family "Bacterial small subunit ribosomal RNA", at positions 485 to 1442 of the family's 1533-position model. Lineage: Bacteria; Bacillati; Actinomycetota; Actinomycetes; Micrococcales; Intrasporangiaceae. The record is from RNAcentral.